AGUGAACGCUGGCGGUAGGCCUAACACAUGCAAGUCGAACGGCAGCACAGUAAGAGCUUGCUCUUACGGGUGGCGAGUGGCGGACGGGUGAGGAAUACAUCGGAAUCUACUUUUUCGUGGGGGAUAACGUAGGUAAACUUACGCUAAUACCGCAUACGACCUACGGGUGAAAGCAUGGGAUCUUCUGACCUUGCGCGAUUGAAUGAGCCGAUGUUGGAUUAGCUAGUUGGCGGGGUAAAGGCCCACCAAGGCGACGAUCCGUAGCUGGUCUGAGAGGAUGAUCAGCCGCACUGGAACUGAGACACGGUCCAGACUCCUACGGGAGGCAGCAGUGGGGAAUAUUGGACAAUGGGCGCAAGCAUGAUCCAGCCAUAGCGCGUGGGUGAAGAAGGCCUUCGGGUUGUAAAGCCCUUUUGUUGGGAAAGAAAAGCAGCAGGUUAAGACCACGCUGUUCUGACGGUACCCAAAGAAUAAGCACCGGCUAACUUCGUG
This 492-nucleotide ribosomal RNA is filed under the name uncultured bacterium. Its description in RNAcentral is "partial 16S ribosomal RNA". It matches the Rfam family "Bacterial small subunit ribosomal RNA", at positions 29 to 507 of the family's 1533-position model. The record is from RNAcentral.